CGUACGUUUCUAUUACACACACACUCUCUCUCUCUCUCUCUCUUAAUCUCUCAUCCAUCGAUCCUUCUCUCAUUCGUAAACCCAAAAAGCCGAAACGCCUCUUCAGAAGCUCAAUCAAUCGACCCCGUGCGAGAACGAUUAAUCCAUCUUCAAUACUCAAUAGUGAAUAUCGAUGGUAAUGAUGGAUUUGAAGAAGUUAAAUCGAUGUUAGGGUUUUUAUCGAUGAUUUGAUGAUCGAUUAUCACAUCCAUGGUUCGUCGUUAUUUCGAGUUCAAUCGAUUGUAUGUUUUUUCUUCUCAGACAUCUUCGAUCUUCAUCUUGCAGGUAGGAAUUUGAUCCAAAUUGUUGGGGAUUCGUGUAUGAUACUAUGUAACUGAAUGAGAGAAAAGAUUGGAUAGUGAAAGGAGGUAGAAGUGCAUUAAGAUGGGGCCAAUACAACAUAGACAUAAAAGAAUUUGCAGAACUGGAUAUAAAGAUUGGUCUCUGUUGCACAAGUGUGGAGACAAUGGUGGAGUCUAACUAUUAUAGACAGAAGGGCUCGAGUUUGAUUCGAGGUAAUAUCAACAAGCUCAAAUGUUUAGAAUGUGGAGUUGUUUAACAGGAUGUUUCAGAUCUAGAAUUCCACCAACCUAUGAUUUGUUAAUUUAGCCGAACUGGAGAUCCGAGUUUGACUCGAGGAGCUCAAUCGACCCUGUCCGACAACCUUCAAUCGAUCUUCAAGACGCAGUACUCUACCAUUGACGGCAAUGUUUGAUUUCGUUCAUCAUCUCUCUUUACUUUCAUGAAAUGAUCAGAACCUUUUCCUUACAUUUAUGCGGACUUGAUUUCAUCUUAGAACGUGUCAUUGAGAGCAACACAUGGUAGAGUGAGUUUAUUACAGGACGGUUCAGUUGUGGUUGAAGUCGGUGGUAUUGAGUUGGGUCAGGGUCUCUGGACCAAGGUUAAACAAAUGACUGCAUGUUGUGUAAGUGCGGUUCAGUGUGACGGAAACGAUGGGCUCUUGGAGAAGGUUCAGGUCAUACAAGCGAACACUUUGAGUAUGGUUCAAGGCGGGUAUACGGCUGAAAGUACAACCUCUGAGGCAAGCUGGCGGUUGUACAAUCGGUGAACUUAUCCGCAAGUUCAUUUUUUGUACCUAAGUUUACAUCUAUAAGUUACAUUAAUUACGGUGCUGCAGUUAGUGAGGUGGAAGUAAAUCUUUUGAAUGGAGAAACCAAAAUGUUGCAAAGAGACAUCAUAUAUGAUUGUAGACAGAGCUUGAAUCCUGCUGUGGAUUUGGGACAGGAAUGACAAAUGAAAUUAGAUUAUGCUCAGAUCUGGACAGGCGUUCGUUGACGAAGGUGGAAGCGGUGUGAUUACUGAUUCCUUUGAAUAGUUUACGGGGAGUAGCAACCUCAACCACUUUGAUAAGUGUUUGAUCAAACAGGUUUAAGGAAGCACACUUCUUGAGGGCAGUCACCCAAUUCUUGAAUCAUUAAAAGAGAUGAGUAAAAUAGAAUGUCCAAAGGUAUCUGAAAAUAUGAGGUUGAUGUUGGUUUUAAUGCCCCCGGUAGUGUGAAUAUUUUUAUACUGUUUUGUCAUCAUCACAAAGGAUGUGAUAAAUGAAUCUGAAGGUUACAUUAGGGAUAAUUUGAAGCGUAAAAAGACUACAACCUUCGUGUUUUUCAUAUUUUAAUACGUUUAUGUAUUGUAGCUACUUGGAAAUCAAGAAAUUAGUAAAAAGGCUACAACUUCGUGUUUUUCAUAUUUCAUAUUAAAUU
This 1760-nucleotide long non-coding RNA is filed under the name Helianthus annuus (common sunflower). Lineage: Eukaryota; Viridiplantae; Streptophyta; Magnoliopsida; Asterales; Asteraceae. The record is from RNAcentral.